This 261-nucleotide ribosomal RNA is filed under the name uncultured bacterium. RNAcentral's name for it is "partial 16S ribosomal RNA". It matches the Rfam family "Bacterial small subunit ribosomal RNA", at positions 97 to 354 of the family's 1533-position model. The record is from RNAcentral.
CCGGCACGGGUGAGUAACACGUAUGGAACCUGCCCUAUGCAGGGGGAUAAGCGGAAGAAAUUCCGUCUAAUACCGCAUAACACCAUUUGGAGACAUCUCCAGGGGGUCAAAGGAGGCGACUCCGGCAUAGGAUGGCCAUGCGUCGCAUUAGCUAGUCGGCGGGGUAACGGCCCACCGAGGCGACGAUGCGUAGGGGUUCUGAGAGGAAGGUCCCCCACACUGGUACUGAGACACGGACCAGACUCCUACGGAAGGCAGCAG